AUGAGGUGGGGUGAGGGGAUCACCUCGGGGAGCAGGGUCACCUCAUGGAAGGGGUGGCCCUUCUCGGCCCCCGGACUAGUUCCCUGCUGGGUCCCGCUUUUUGCCCCCCUGCACCAGCUAACCUCAGGGGUGGCGCUGAGCACCUUUCCGCAUCCCAAAAUUAAAUGUGGCCCUGUCAUGUCUAACUGGCACUUGUACGUGGUCUUGGUCUUCACCUCAGGUAGCAGGAAGUGUGGGGCCAUCUUCCGUGUCCUUCAUCCGCGGCAGCCCAGCUUUUCACUGGAGGUUAUGGGGGAGACCUGGGCUCUUGGACGGCGCCCUCCUCCUCCUAUUCCUCCCAGUGGUGGGUCUUUCUUCUUGAGAGGUCGCUUGCUGCCAUUGCAGGGGGCAUCGGAGAGCGUGGCUGCAAACCCCGCUCAGGGGGAACCUGGGCUGGCUGGCGUUCAGCAGGAGCAGCUCCAUGCAGAGAUGAAGCAGGAGGAGGCUGGGAACGCCAGGGUGCUGGCAGGGAACGGGUGGAUGCCCAGAUGUGAGAGGGAGAGAGACGUGGCGGAAGAUGCAGAGCGAGCGUGGUCGUGUGGGGUGUCCCCGUGGACGGCUGAAGAGGCGAUUCCCUCACGUGGCGUUCAAGAAGGAGCCUUCGUCAGCCAGGAGAGAGCAUAGGUCCCACAACCGAUCUACGCAGGGGGUGGAGGGGAGGCUGUAAGGCCCUCAUCGUCACCCAAGUCCAGAUUUGAUCCGACACUGGUAGAAAACGCAAAGUGUACAGUAAGAGCUUCGGGCAGAAUCCCGGGAUGCUGAAGAACCGCCGCACAGCAAGCAAAGCCCACAAGUGCCUGGUCUGUGGGAAAUUCUUCCUUUCCAGCUCCAAGAUCGUCAUUCACCAGAGGACCCACACUGGGGAGAAGCCCUACGAAUGCUCGGCAUGUGGGAAAACCUUCUGGUCCAGCUCCGUGCUUUACCGUCACCAGAGAAUCGACACGGGGGAAAAGCCGCAGAAAUGCCCUGCCUGCGGGAGAAGAUUCUGCAGCAACUCCAACCUCAGGCGACAUCAGAGGAUCCACACGGGGGAGAAGCCGUUCGAGUGCCUGGCCUGCGGGAAAAGCUUCGUUCAGAGGGCAAACCUUAAUAAGCACCACAAAAUCCAUGCGGUGGAAGGAAAAUGCGGGGCAGACGUUAGUAGGAGCUGAAGCCUUCCGCCUGUUUGCAAAAACCUAGGACGGACUCUUUGGAACUCCUCUCUGUUUUGGACACCUUGAUGAAUAGCAGGAGCAGAAGGAGCGCUGGGUGGCCUCUGUUCAUUGCUUGCAGGUGCUAAUGCUCAGAGAUAUGAUAGCAAGAGCCAGUUUGGGUAACAGCAUUUUUCUUGACUGUGUUUGUACCAUCACACGUUUGCAAAAGACAAUCACAUCCUCUUGCCUUCCCUGUCUUAUAGGCCAUACCUUGCUGCAAGUAUGAGUCAGGACUGGCUGAGGAUGAGUACAGUUGGACCCCCUUGUCCACAGGAUCAGUAUCCACCGAUUCACGUAUCCACACUCGGAAAAUGAUAAAAAUAUUAAAUAUAAUAUUCUUAAAAUAUAAAAAUAUUAAAAGAAAAAUUCCAUAAAUAUAUACAGUAUAUUUCUAACAAUGAAGCACAUGUCCACCCCUACCCCCCCCAGCCCUUCGGAGGGAAAUCCUCUUGAGAAACUUUGCUGUGGCUGCUGAGAGGGACUGGCCACCUUGCUCUCUGGAAUGGCGUUCGCCUAGGGAGGGGGGCCUCUCCUUGGAGCCCAAGGCCAGCCUGACUGGAGGGGGGGUUGGCCUCUUCCCACCCCAGGAACUGAAGGCCUCCAGACCAUAAACCCCUCCUGCGAGUUCUGUGGCGGGAGGAAGGGAUGCCUUCUCUGCGUGCCCCCCCCCAAUCCUGCUCAAGGAUCCGUUAUUUCUCUCUCCCAAAUUUCAGCUGGAUUGAAUGCCGACCCCUGGAGACUCCUUCCCUGCCUUGGCCACAAACCCACCGGCCGGAGGAGAUGCACGAAGAGAGUGGGGGGGGGGCGCCUUGCAGGAUCUGACCCUUGGAACUCCUGUUGCUCAACCUGACUUGGAAAUGUGUGCAUGAAAAUAAACAAAUUCCUUCAGCCUGACUCCCA
This 2132-nucleotide long non-coding RNA is filed under the name Pogona vitticeps (central bearded dragon). Its description in RNAcentral is "lncRNA (ENSPVIG00000006189.1)". The record is from RNAcentral. Lineage: Eukaryota; Metazoa; Chordata; Lepidosauria; Squamata; Agamidae.